AAACAGCCCUAUAUGUUUUGAUUCUUUGGCAGUUUUGGACCCCCAAGGCAAAAAAAAAUAAAAAAAUUGACACGUGGCGCCUCACUUAGGGUGACACGUCAGCGUUGACCGAGUCAACAAUGGAUUGGGGGUCCAAAACUGACAAAGAAUCAAAACAUAAAGAGUUGUUU
This 170-nucleotide microRNA precursor is filed under the name Medicago truncatula (barrel medic). RNAcentral's name for it is "MIR2619 microRNA precursor family". It matches the Rfam family "MIR2619 microRNA precursor family". The record is from Rfam by way of RNAcentral. Lineage: Eukaryota; Viridiplantae; Streptophyta; Magnoliopsida; Fabales; Fabaceae.